Molecule: ribosomal RNA, 497 nt
Filed under: uncultured bacterium
Lineage: Bacteria
Description: partial 16S ribosomal RNA
Rfam family: Bacterial small subunit ribosomal RNA
Source: RNAcentral
GACGAACGCUGGCGGCGUGCCUAAUACAGGCAAGUUGAGCGCUGAAGGUUGGUACUUGUACCAACUGGAUGAGCAGCGAACUUGUGAGUAACGCGGGGGGAAUCUUCCUUUGAUCGGGGGACAACAUGUGGAAACGAAUGCUAAUACCGCAUAAAAACUUUAAACACAAUUUUUAGGUUUGAAAGAUGCAAUUGCAUCACUCAAAGAUGAUCCCGCGUUGUAUUAGCUAGUUGGUGAGGUAAAGGCUCACCAAGGCGAUGAUACAUAGCCGACCUGAGAGGGUGAUCGGCCACAUUGGGACUGCGACACGGCCCAAACUCCUACGGGAGGCAGCAGUAGGGAAGCUUCGGCAAUGGACGAAAGUCUGACAGAGCCACGCCGCGUGAGUGAAGAAGGUUGUCGGCUCGUAAAACUCUGUUGGUCGAGAAGAACGUUGGUGAGAGUGGCAAGCUGAUCCAGUGACGGUAACUACGCAGAAAGGGACGGCUAACCACGCG